AUGGAGAACCAGCUUCAGCAAAGCAAUGUGAGUGAAGUCUGGAGAGGCCUUAGAACCAUCUCAGGUCAUAAACAUCAGAACUCUCUGCCUGUGAGGGAUGUGAGGUGGGCUAAUGAACUGAAUCAAUUCUUUAAUAGAUUUGACUCGGCUACGAGGCAGACCUCAACGUCGGCUGCUGACUCUCCCACCCUCUCUACCACUGUUUCACCUCUGACCUCUCACCCCUCCUCACCUUCAGUAACAGUAUCUAGUACACACUUUACGCAAGGUCCUGGCUGGUCCCUCUCUACCACACAGGUGAGGGGGGAAAUGAGGAGGAUAAAUGGCAGGAAGGCAGCGGGUCCAGAUGGUAUCAGCGCAUGGGUGGUCAGGUCCUGCGCGGACCAACUGUGUGAGGUAAUCGGGCACCUUUUCAACCUGAGCCUGAGGCUGGGAAGAGUCCCAAAGCUCUGGAAAACAUCUUGUGUAGUUCCGGUGCCAAAGACUUCACGCCCCAAGGAUUUUAACAGCUACAGGCCGGUGGCUCUAACAUCCCAUCUUAUGAAGACUCUGGAGCGGUUGGUUCUGGUUUGGCUUCGGCGCCUAGUGGGCUCUUCACUGGACCCGCUCCAGUUUGCCUAUCAAACUGGCAUUGGUGCUGAUGAUGCGGUCAUCCACCUCCUGCAUCGCUCGCUCGCUCACCUGGAGACUGUUGGGAGUACUGUGAGGAUCAUGUUUUUUGAUUUCUCCAGUGCCUUCAAUACCAUUCUUCCCUCGGUUCUGAAGGACAAACUGGUGAACGUUGGAGUGGAUCAUCACUUCGCUACCUGGAUUCUGGACUACCUUUCUGACCGACCACAGUAUGUGAGGGCUCAGGGCUGUGUGUCGGAGAGUGUCAUCUGCAGCACGGGGGCCCCCCAGGGAACGGUUCUGGCUCCGUUCCUUUUUACCAUCUAUACUGCGGACUUCUCCUAUAACUCAAAUCAGUGCUUCUUGCAGAAGUUCUCGGAUGACUCUGCGAUUGUGGGUCUCAUCAAGGAUGGGGAUGACAAGGAGUACAGGAGACUGACUCAGGACUUUGUGGACUGGUGCCAGCUGAACUAUCUACAGAUUAAUGCCAGCAAAACUAAGGAGCUGGUGAUAGACUUUCGUAGGCAUACGCAUUCCUCGCUUCAACCACUGAGCAUACAGGGCAUGGACAUUGAGACUGUGGACAGUUACAGGUACCUUGGGGUCCAUCUGAACAAUAAACUGGACUGGACUCAUAAUUCAGAUGCCCUGUAUAGAAAAGGGCAGAGUAGGCUGUACCUACUACGGAGACUGAGGUCAUUUGGAGUUGUGGGCCCUCUCCUGAAGACCUUUUAUGACUCUGUGGUGGCCUCGGCCAUCUUUUAUGGUGUGGUCUGCUGGGGCAGCAGCAUCUCUGCGGGGGAUAGGAAGAGGCUGAACAGACUGAUCCGCAGGGCCAGUUCUGUUCUAGGAUGCCCCCUGGACCCUGUGGAGGUGGUGAGUGACAGGAGAAUGACAGCUAAACUGUCAUCCAUGUUGGACAAUAUCUCCCAUCCCAUGCAGGUGACUUUGACAGCUAUGAGCAGCUCCUUUAGUGGGAGACUGCGGCACCCAAGGUGUGGGACAGAGAGAUUCCGUAGGUCUUUCCUCCCCACUGCUGUCAGACUCUACAACAAAUCUGUUGGAUGA
Long non-coding RNA from Nothobranchius furzeri (turquoise killifish), 1677 nucleotides. Lineage: Eukaryota; Metazoa; Chordata; Actinopteri; Cyprinodontiformes; Nothobranchiidae. The record is from Ensembl.